CUAUGUUUCCAGUGUCCUCUGGGUGUUUCCAAGAGCAACAAGAAACGAAUAAAUCUCUGCCAUAGGAGUUUUAGCCAAUUCAGAGGCCUUGCUGCCCACAAUUUGGAAAAUUCCUUUGGAUUUGACCAAGUCAGGAAGAGACGGGAGAAAAGUGAAACAACAACAAUAAAGCCCCAAGCAUAAACAGACAAAAAGAGUUAAGCAAAACAACAAAUGCACAAUUCAUAUGAUUACUGAGUGUUCUAAUGGUAAGGAGAAACUAAAAGCAGAAAUUAAAAGCAGCUGGUGAGUAAUCUUAAAUUUUAGUCAUUAAGGAAAAAUUUUAAGACAAAACUCUAAUUCAGCUACUUACCUGGAAACAAGGCUCAGGCUGGGGAUCGUUCUCUGCCAUCUUAGAAGCUGGAAACAACUUACACUCACCUUCCCUGUCAGAAGCAAGCUGAAACUCAGGAAAGGAGGUGCCUGCUCUCCAUCACCACAGAAGCAGGAAAACUUGCCUUCCUUGUUGGAAAUGAGUAAAACUUCAGAAAAGGAGUUGUACAGCAAAAUCAAACUUAGAUCUCAACCAGAUUUUGGGAGAUCAGGGACUCUUUGCAGGGGAGAAGCUCCACAACCUCAGCAAAUUAUCCUGUUGGUUUGGGCAAUAAAGAUAGCCCAGAAAGCCAGUUUUCAAGCUCUGGGAUUCUUUCCUCUGCUUGGUCUAUUCUGCUGGGUGGUCUUGCACAUGAGAUGGAGCUGGUGUGACCUCAGCCCUCCUUAGUCUGCUUGCCUCUCCCAGGACCCCAGCCUGGCCACACCUGCUUACAGGGCAAUCUCGGGUGCCCACA
RNAcentral lists this long non-coding RNA (827 nucleotides) under Homo sapiens (human). RNAcentral describes it as "long non-coding RNA NONHSAT005674". The record is from RNAcentral. Lineage: Eukaryota; Metazoa; Chordata; Mammalia; Primates; Hominidae.